Molecule: long non-coding RNA, 576 nt
Organism: Nerophis lumbriciformis (worm pipefish)
Lineage: Eukaryota; Metazoa; Chordata; Actinopteri; Syngnathiformes; Syngnathidae
Source: RefSeq, a predicted model, not a curated record
AAGUGACAACCAUUUCAGGUGACUACCUCUUGAAGCUCAUCGAGAGAAUGCCAAGCGUGUGCAAAGCAGUAACUGGAGCAAAGGGUGGCUAUUUUGAAGAAACCAGAACAUGAAACAUGUUUUCAGGUUCAAGAUGCAGUCGAGCUUUCUCUUGCGGCAGCGUUGUGCAGCGAUACGGUUCUUGCUUCUUCGCCUCACAUCGUGGAUGAACUCCAGCUGCUCUGAGCGGCAAAUAAACGAUGCUUCUUACAAGUACCAUCCCUGGAAGAAGAGGAAGAGCUAAACAUGCUUCACUACUAGGGUUGCCACAGUUACUUUGAAAAGGAACUGGAUAGAUCAGCAGAGCAUCAAGGCUGUACAAAAUAGCAUACUAAACACAUACAAAUAAAUGAUGAAUCAAACUAUACUUCAAUGUCCCAUAAUCCCAAUUUAUUUAUUGAUAUUUAAAUGUGUAUUUAUUCAUAUAUCUUUUAUUUUACUGGAAUUAGCAAAUCCUGGGUUCAAUCCCGGGCUCGGGAUCGUUCUGUGUGGAGUUUGCAUGUUCUCCCCGUGACUGCGUGGGUUCCCUCCGGGUAC